RNA transcript from Propithecus coquereli (Coquerel's sifaka), 1565 nucleotides. It is a transcript of the gene named tropomyosin alpha-3 chain pseudogene, with no coding region annotated. The transcript has a single exon. Lineage: Eukaryota; Metazoa; Chordata; Mammalia; Primates; Indriidae. The record is from RefSeq and is a predicted model, not a curated record.
AUGGCUGGGAUCACCACCAUGGAGGCGGUGAAACGCAAGAUCCAGGUUCUGCAACAGCAGGCUGAUGAUGCAGAGGAGAGAGCCGAGUGUCUCCAGCGGGAAGUGGAGGGAGAAAGGCGGGCCCGGAACAGGCUGAGGCUGAGGUGGCCUCCUUCAACCGUAGGAUCCAGUUGGUUGAAGGAGCUGGAUCGUGCUCAGGAGCGCCUGGCCACUGCCCUCCAAAAGCUGGAGGAAGCGGAAAAAGCUGCUGAUGAGAGUGAGAGAGGUAUGAAGGUGAUUGAAAACCGGGCCUUAAAAGAUGAGGAAAAGAUGGAACGCCAGGAAAUCCAACUCAAAGAAGCUAAACAUAUUGCAGAAGAGGCAGGUAGGAAGUAUGAAGAGGUGGCCUGUAAGUUGGUGAUUAGUGAAGGAGACUUGGAACGCACAGAGGAACGAGCUGAACUGGCAGAGUCCCGUUGCCGAGAGAUGGAUGAGCAGAUCAGACUGAUGGACCAGACCUGAAGUGUCUGAGCGCUGCUGAAGAAAAGUAUUCUCAAAAAGAAGACAAAUAUGAGGAAGAGAUAACGAUUCUUACUGAUAAACUCAAGGAGGCAGAGACCCGUGCUGAGUUUGCUGAGAGAUCGGUAGCCAAGCUGGAAAAGACAAUUGAUGAUUUGGAAGAUAAACCGAAAUGUACCAAAGAGGAGCACCUCUGUACACAAAGGAUGCUGGACCAGACUCUGCUUGACCUGAAUGAGAUGUAGAGCACCCCAGUCCCGCCCUGCCGCCGCUUCUCCCUCUGAUCCUGACUCCGCCUGAGGCCAGCCUGCCUGAAGCUGACCUUUAAACUGAGGGCUGAUCUUUAACUGGAAGGCUGCUUUCUCCUUUCGCCAUCCCCCUCCAUCCUCCGCCCCACACACCACGUCUUUUUCGCCAAACUGUCUCUGCCUCUUCCCAGAGAUUCCUGCUGGGCUAGAGGCUGAGCACCUUUGGGAACAACAUUUAAGGGAAUGUGAGCACAAUGCAAAAUGCCUUUAAAAGCAUGUUGCGAUGUACACAUUUUGUAAUUACCUUUUUUGUCGUUGUUGUAGCAACCAUUUGUAAAACAUUCCAAAUACUUCCACAGCUCUGAUGCAGCAAUCUAACCCCUUUAUCACUUUUGGAAGUUGACUUUGCAGCUUAAUGUAUAUUGCCCUCUCCAUAGAGGAGGCAGAAAGGUAUGGGCCUGCCUUACUGAGAACCAAACAGAGCCCAGGGAAAGACUCCACUGUGGGAAACCUCAUUGCUCUGUACAAAGUACCAGCCAAACCUGAAAGGGGAUCCCAGGAGGAGUAAGCCAAAAAAAAAAAAAAAGAAAGAAAGAAAGAAAACCCAACAAAAACAUGCUGUUCAGGUUUUCAGCUUUAAGGUAUCUUUGGAUAAUUUUAUUUUUUAUUUUUUUCAUUAGAAGUGACCAAAUUAAGAUGGUGAGACCUCUGAGACCAAAUGUUUGUCCUAUCUCUACCCUCUUCCCAUCCACUCACAGAAUGGAUCAUGUGCCCUUUACUUUGAGUUGACCACUUAAUUGCUCUCCUGCCUCCUUGAAA